Molecule: long non-coding RNA, 1616 nt
Organism: Lathyrus oleraceus (garden pea)
Lineage: Eukaryota; Viridiplantae; Streptophyta; Magnoliopsida; Fabales; Fabaceae
Exons: 3
Source: RefSeq, a predicted model, not a curated record
AUUAAAAAAAAUCAAAUCACUGACGAAACCAACAAACUGGGAAAAAGCGCUUAUACAAGAACCAAACACCAAGCUGACAACCGCUUAUACGACGAAUCCAAGCAAGCUUCACGAUGGCAUUUCAACACUCUCACGGCCUUGCAAUUUGAAGCUCCAAUGAUCAGCAUCGUAGAUUUGCCUCCAAUCUUUAACGCGCCGUAUUCGGAAUCGUUGCGUUCAACCUUCAGCUUAUGGUUCGCAUUGUUCCAUCGUCAUUAAUUCGAAGAUUCAAGUCUCAAUUCCACACUCUUUGCUACCAUGUGCGCAAAGCGAAAAAGACAAUGUCGAAAACUAAUCGAGCAACUCACUGGAUUCUUGUUAUCAGUUCUUCUUCCGUUUCGCUUUCUCUACGCCGAAAACGAGCUCUCCGAUCAGUUUGUGUUUAUAAGUAGAUGUAGAUGCGAGGAUAGAUAGUGCCAAAUCAAGAUUGACUCAACUUCACGCGUAGGAUUAAAGAGAAACAAGAUUGAAUCUAGAGGACUUACCGAACUGAAGCUCUAAUUGAAACAGAAAUGAUCGAAUACAUAUACAGGAAAACUUGCUCCUUCCUUCUGCAGGACUUGUACGGUGGCGAAAUUGGAGGAUUAUGUUGGAAGAUAAAAGCCUUUGCUUGGAUUGGUCUAGGGGCUAACUUGUGGAGUGUUGUUGUCAAUUGUUGUUUGAAGUGCAGGUUGAAGGGAGUGGCCUUGUUGCACUACUGUGGCAUUGGGUCGUUGCAUUGUGAUGCAAUGGGUGGAUUGCAAUUGGUCAUGGCAUGGAUGCAUUUCAAGGCUUAGGUUGUUGUGAGGUUCCGCUGAGCAGAGUCAUCUUGCAGGUCCGUCGUUAUGGUCGACGGAAAAUUCUGCAUAACGUUUUGGUCUGCAGCAAGGCAGUUUUUAUGGUGCAGUAUGAUGUACCAUGAUGAAAGUACUCAUCCAGAAGUAAUAGCCCAACCAUGUCAUCAGCCAGAACUUUAUCCAUCCCAUGAUUCCAGCCUUGUAAAUAAUUGAUGGCCAUUCAAACACGAGUUGCACUUAUCUUCACUCUCUUUAUUUCAUUUGGUAUGAACUUCGCCAACCGAACUGAACGACGAACCAAUGAGCUAUAAAUGUCGAGCAUCGAAAUAGACCGAAUCCAUUUAUUAUUGAUUUCCUCAAAAGUGGAUUUGACUCAAACGCAUCUUUCCAAACAGGCUGCCAAGCAGUAUCUUCUUUCAACAUGUUUGUUUGUGCAUGAUGCUUUUGUUAUUGGCUUGUGCAGGUUGUGUAUCAUAGGCCUGUCCGAACUUGAUGCUUGGAUUUUGGAGAUUUGAGUGUCGCUGUUUUGAACUGGAGUUGUUGCCGUCUGCAGCUGGUGUAGCUGGUGUGCGUGAAUAUCGGCUUAAAGCUUGGGUUUGAAUUGAGAAAGGGAUUAUGGACCUAUUAUGACAAUAAGCUAGCAAUUUUAGCAAAGCUCAAUGGGUUGUUAUUGAAUUUGUUAUUGACUUAUGAAAUGUUUGUCAACAAUUUCAGGAUUUGAGUUGUAUGAAUAAUGUAGGAAUGGAUUAUUUGAUUGUAAAUUGGUUAUCUAAAAAUUGGAAUAAUUAAUUUAAAAUAAAA